UGAACGCUGGCGGCAGGCCUAACACAUGCAAGUCGAACGGAGUUAUAUUGUAGCUUGCUAUGGUAUAACUUAGUGGCAGACGGGUGAGUAAUGUAUAGGAAUCUACCUAGUAGUACGGAAUAAUUGUUGGAAACGGCAACUAAUACCGUAUACGCCCUACGGGGGAAAAAUUUAUUGCUAUUAGAUGAGCCUAUAUUAGAUUAGCUAGUUGGUGGAGUAAUAGCCUACCAAGGCAAUGAUCUAUAGCUGAUCUGAGAGGAUGAUCAGCCACACUGGAACUGAGAUACGGUCCAGACUCCUACGGGAGGCAGCAGUGGGGAAUAUUGGACAAUGGGCGAAAGCCUGAUCCAGCCAUGCCGCAUGAGUGAAGAAGGCCUUUGGGUUGUAAAGCUCUUUUAGUGAGGAAGAUAAUGACGGUACUCACAGAAGAAGUCCUGGCUAACUCCGUGCCAGCAGCCGCGGUAAUACGGAGAGGGCUAGCGUUAUUCGGAAUUAUUGGGCGUAAAGGGCGCGUAGGCGGAUUAGUAAGUUAAAAGUGAAAUCCCAAGGCUCAACCUUGGAAUUGCUUUUAAAACUGCUAAUCUAGAGAUUGAAAGAGGAUAGAGGAAUUCCUAGUGUAGAGGUGAAAUUCGUAAAUAUUAGGAGGAACACCAGUGGCGAAAGCGUCUAUCUGGUUCAAAUCUGACGCUGAGGCGCGAAGGCGUGGGGAGCAAACAGGAUUAGAUACCCUGGUAGUCCACGCUGUAAACGAUGAAUGUUAAAUAUGGGAAGUUUUACUUUCUGUAUUACAGCUAA
Molecule: ribosomal RNA, 795 nt
Filed under: uncultured bacterium
Lineage: Bacteria
Description: bacterial SSU rRNA
Rfam family: Bacterial small subunit ribosomal RNA
Source: RNAcentral